UUUAAGGCUAGGUGAGGUGUCUUUGGCAAGGUUGCACAGGGAUCCAGUAGAGACGGGGUUUCACCAUGUUGGUCAGGCCGGUCUCAAACCCCUGACCUUGUGAUCCGCUCACCUCGGCCUCCCAAAGUGCUGGGAUUACAGGCUUGAGCCACCACGCCCGGCCGGUAAGUGAUUUUUUUGUUUUUUGGACCUCCUAUCUGGUUAGCACUGUCUAGUUGUUUGGUCCUUCUGGGUAUUUGAUUUAAUUUAACUUCUUUUGGUUGGGAGUUCUUACAGACGAGACUGAGUUUUUAUCAUUAUCAUUGCUUGGAUGAAGGAUCUUUACUAUGGACUAUGGACUCUGGGUAAUAGCAGGAAUAUCUUUCUAGUGUGGGUGGGAUCCAGUAAUGUAGGACUUAAUGGCUUAUUGAGAGUAAAACUAGGUAUUCUCAGA
Molecule: long non-coding RNA, 433 nt
Filed under: Homo sapiens (human)
Lineage: Eukaryota; Metazoa; Chordata; Mammalia; Primates; Hominidae
Description: HSALNT0175398
Source: RNAcentral